This is a long non-coding RNA of Cucumis sativus (cucumber), 985 nucleotides long. RefSeq lists it as uncharacterized. NCBI's taxonomy places the organism in Eukaryota, Viridiplantae, Streptophyta, Magnoliopsida, Cucurbitales, Cucurbitaceae. The transcript is spliced from 4 exons. The record is from RefSeq and is a predicted model, not a curated record.
ACAUCCUUUCAUCCCUAAUCUCAUCCUCGACCACAACCACUGCUUUGACCACGAUCGUCUCUCCGAAGAUUUGUGAGACAGUUCCAUUAGGUUAUGGGCACUAAGUGGUGAAACAUUGAUGGAGAUGGUUGGUGACACUUCCAUUGUGUAUUCAGUGGAUUCACAUGCUUCCGAAGUCAUUGUUAGUGGGAGUGAAGAUUGUUCGGCAAAGAUAUGGAAAGAUGGAAUUUGUGUCUAGAGCAUUGAGCAUCCUGGUUGCGUUUGGGAUGCCAAGUUUUUGGAAAAUGGAGAUAUUGUCACAGCUUGUUUAGAUGGAGUAGUACGUGUCUGGACGGCAGAACAGGAAAGAAUUGCUGAUCCCCAAGAAUUGGAGUUAUUUGCUUCAAGACUGUCUCAGUAUAAGUUGAAGAGGUGCCCCACAACAGCUGCCACACACACACACACACACUCACAAAGAGGAAGUUCCAAAAUCCUUUGGAAGAGGGUUGGAGGAUUGAAAUUGGAAGAAUUACCUGGGAUGGAUGCUUUACAAAUUCCAGGUCUGGUUACACUAUUCCAUUUUAAUAAGAAGCCAAGAUGCUAUCCGCUUCUAUACCUUUUUCCUUUUACCCCUUAAUUUCAUGAAUCUUUGUUGCAAAGUGGAUGGGUGGCAAGGUUUUCUUUUUCUUGAUAUUUGUGAGAUUCUAGGCCAGCUCACACACCCUCGACUAAUCUCACGGGAUAAUCCGCUUGACCCUACAACAUUUGGGUGUUAAGGAAACUCAUAGGAAAUUAAUUUACAGCUGCCACACACACACACUCACAAAGAGGAAGUUCCAAAAUCCUUUUGUUCAUCUCUCUUUUUUUUUCUCUCUCUCUAGCUUAUUUUGACUUUUUGAGGCAGAAGCAUGAUUCUGAGCAUAUCUAAAAUAAUGUCAGUAUAGAAUAUAUUCUGUUCUGAGUAUGAUUUUGCCGGCCUGUGUUAUGUUUAACGCCUUUCUUUUUG